Long non-coding RNA from Carlito syrichta (Philippine tarsier), 211 nucleotides. RefSeq lists it as uncharacterized. The transcript has 2 exons. NCBI's taxonomy places the organism in Eukaryota, Metazoa, Chordata, Mammalia, Primates, Tarsiidae. The record is from RefSeq and is a predicted model, not a curated record.
GAGUGGAGAGCGACAGCGGGAGACCGCGUCGGGGGUCGUCCCGGGGGACGCGGACCCCGGGCAGAAGGCGGCUCCAGGCGGGUGGAGAGCCGAACGGUAUGCUGAAAAGACUGCAGAGAGCAGAGGAUGCAUUGAAACAGGAAGCCCCUGGGGUUUGGUGCCUACCAGAGUACUUUGCACAGACACGGUUAAUAAAUUAUUUUUGAUGGCA